Molecule: ribosomal RNA, 504 nt
Filed under: uncultured bacterium
Lineage: Bacteria
Description: partial 16S ribosomal RNA
Rfam family: Bacterial small subunit ribosomal RNA
Source: RNAcentral
AUUGAACGCUGGCGGCAGGCCUAACACAUGCAAGUCGAACGGUAGCACAGAGAGCUUGCUCUCGGGUGACGAGUGGCGGACGGGUGAGUAAUGUCUGGGAAACUGCCCGAUGGAGGGGGAUAACUACUGGAAACGGUAGCUAAUACCGCAUAACGUCGCAAGACCAAAGUGGGGGACCUUCGGGCCUCACACCAUCGGAUGUGCCCAGAUGGGAUUAGCUAGUAGGUGGGGUAAUGGCUCACCUAGGCGACGAUCCCUAGCUGGUCUGGGAGGAUGACCAGCCACACGGGGACUGAGACACGGUCCAGACUCCUACGGGAGGCAGCAGUGGGGAAUAUUGCACAAUGGGCGCGAGCCUGAUGCAGCCAUGCCGCGUGUAUGAAGAAGGCCUUCGGGUUGUAAAGUACUUUCAGCGGGGAGGAAGGCGGUGAAGUUAAUAACUUCACCGAUUGACGUUACCCGCAGAAGAAGCACCGGCUAACUCCGUGCCAGCCGCCGCCGUAA